UUUCCGUAGGUGAACCUGCGGAAGGAUCAUUACCGAGUUGAUUCGGGC
Molecule: ribosomal RNA, 48 nt
Filed under: Macrophomina phaseolina
Lineage: Eukaryota; Fungi; Ascomycota; Dothideomycetes; Botryosphaeriales; Botryosphaeriaceae
Description: partial 18S ribosomal RNA
Source: RNAcentral